Molecule: long non-coding RNA, 839 nt
Organism: Xenopus laevis (African clawed frog)
Lineage: Eukaryota; Metazoa; Chordata; Amphibia; Anura; Pipidae
Exons: 5
Source: RefSeq, a predicted model, not a curated record
GGCUGAGACAUGCUGGGGUGGGAAAUCUGAGUGAAAAAUCCCAGAAAGAGGCAGAAUGGUGGAGAGCAGAUAUGAUACUGCAAUAAAGAUUUCACAAAGGCGAUGCCCUUAUUACCAUGGCUGCUGGGCUUAAGACUAAAGGAGAAGGAGAUAAAAAAGGUUUCUUCAGCUAAAGAACCACUGGAUCCAUUUACAAUGGAAAGGAAGAUUCUGUGAGAAAGAUGAUAGAAGCUGGACUCCAGAAUCCUUAAAAUGUCAGCAACAUAGACUAAUUGUCUUUCUGGUUCGUCCAUCUUCAUAUGGGUGCACAUGCAUAGUAGAGUGAAAAGCCGAACUUUAACAAAAAAGCCAGCUUUGACCAUUGACCGUGGGCCAUCGAAGAAAGAAGCAGAAGAAGGUUUGUUAGACAUUCAUUUUCACUUUUUUUCAUGUUGCGGAGGAAUGUAUAAUUACUGUUGCUCCAGCUCCUAACUCUACAGUGACUUUACAGACCCCUAACUGGUACGAGGGACUGCCAGAAACUGUAUCUGUCUCAUGGUGAUGCCUUCUAAGCAAUUUGGGAAGUUAGCAUUUGCAAAAGACAGAAUGGCCAUUAUAUGUGAAACUGGACGUGCAUUUAUUAACAUAAAGGAACAGAAGUCUGCUGGGCCAGAUAUUGUUUUGAAAGAUUAUGAUACCCUUCCCAGCUCCAUUAAUCUUUUCUAUCCUUUCUGGCUUAACAUCUCUAACUGUAAGCCUAAGGUCUGGUCCAAGAAGCUUCAGAUACAGUUUUCUGUUAUGUUUAUCCAAAUUGAAUCAGACCUGACAACAAUAUUAAUUGCAGCUUGUUCUGCUAUUGC